Molecule: ribosomal RNA, 500 nt
Filed under: uncultured bacterium
Lineage: Bacteria
Description: partial 16S ribosomal RNA
Rfam family: Bacterial small subunit ribosomal RNA
Source: RNAcentral
AUUGAACGCUGGCGGCAGGCCUAACACAUGCAAGUCGAGCGGAUGACGGGAGCUUGCUCCUUGAUUCAGCGGCGGACGGGUGAGUAAUGCCUAGGAAUCUGCCUGGUAGUGGGGGACAACGUUUCGAAAGGAACGCUAAUACCGCAUAAGUCCUACGGGAGAAAGCAGGGGACCUUCGGGCCUUGCGCUAUCAGAUGAGCCUAGGUCGGAUUAGCUAGUUGGUGAGGUAAUGGCUCACCAAGGCGACGAUCAGUAACUGGUCUGAGAGGAUGAUCAGUCGCACUGGAACUGAGACACGGUCCAGACUCCGACGGGAGGCAGCAGUGGGGAAUAUUGGACAAUGGGCGAAAGCCUGAUCCAGCCAUGCCGCGUGUGUGAAGAAGGUCUUCGGAUUGUAAAGCACUUUAAGUUGGGAGGAAGGGCAGUAAGUUAAUACCUUGCUGCUUUGACGUUACCGACAGAAUAAGCACCGGCUUACUCUGUGCCAGCAGCCGCGGUAA